GCUCAGGACGAACGCUGGCGGCGUGCCUAAUACAUGCAAGUCGAGCGGAUUGAUGGGAGCUUGCUCCCAUCAGUCAGCGGCGGACGGGUGAGUAACACGUGGGUAACCUGCCUGUAAGACUGGGAUAACUCCGGGAAACCGGGGCUAAUACCGGAUAACUCAUUUCCUCGCAUGAGGAAAUGUUGAAAGGUGGCUUUUAGCUAUCACUUACAGAUGGACCCGCGGCGCAUUAGCUAGUUGGUGAGGUAAUGGCUCACCAAGGCGACGAUGCGUAGCCGACCUGAGAGGGUGAUCGGCCACACUGGGACUGAGACACGGCCCAGACUCCUACGGGAGGCAGCAGUAGGGAAUCUUCCGCAAUGGACGAAAGUCUGACGGAGCAACGCCGCGUGAGUGAUGAAGGUUUUCGGAUCGUAAAGCUCUGUUGUUAGGGAAGAACAAGUACCGUUCGAAUAGGGCGGUACCUUGACGGUACCUAACCA
Molecule: ribosomal RNA, 482 nt
Filed under: Bacillus sp. LR-22
Lineage: Bacteria; Bacillati; Bacillota; Bacilli; Caryophanales; Bacillaceae
Description: bacterial SSU rRNA
Rfam family: Bacterial small subunit ribosomal RNA
Source: RNAcentral